This 206-nucleotide ribosomal RNA is filed under the name uncultured bacterium. RNAcentral's name for it is "partial 16S ribosomal RNA". It matches the Rfam family "Bacterial small subunit ribosomal RNA", at positions 1287 to 1500 of the family's 1533-position model. The record is from RNAcentral.
CUCAGUUCGGAUUGGAGUCUGNAACCCGGCUCCAUGAAGCUGGAUUCGCUAGUAAUCGCGCAUCAGCCACGGCGCGGUGAAUACGUUCCCGGGCCUUGUACACACCGCCCGUCAAGCCAUGGAAGCCGGGAGUGCCUGAAGUGCGUGAGCGCAAGCAGCGCCCUAAGGUAAAACCGGUGACUGGGGCUAAGUCGUAACAAGGUAUC